UACGGAGGAUGCGAGCGUUAUCCGGAUUUAUUAGGUUUAAAGGGUGCGUAGGCGGGAUGCCAAGUCAGCGGUAAAAAUGCGGUGCUCAACGCCGUCGAGCCGUUGAAACUGGCGUUCUUGAGUGGGCGAGAAGUAUGCGGAAUGCGUGGUGUAGCGGUGAAAUGCAUAGAUAUCACGCAGAACUCCGAUUGCGAAGGCAGCAUACCGGCGCCCUACUGACGCUGAGGCACGAAAGCGUGGGUAUCGAACAGG
Molecule: ribosomal RNA, 252 nt
Filed under: uncultured bacterium
Lineage: Bacteria
Description: partial 16S ribosomal RNA
Rfam family: Bacterial small subunit ribosomal RNA
Source: RNAcentral